CUGGCUAUUCCUUUACUAUUCAUUAUGAGUUUUUUUGUUGAUUAUAUAUUCAUCAAGCCAUUCUUAGACAACUUUGUAUAAUUUUAGGCUGAAUCAGAACAAUCUAGAGAAUCAACUUCUAAGUCAGCACAGCAUGAAGAGCAUAAAGAAUGGCAAGAUGCAUGGGAUGAGGGAGAUAAAAUUGAAGUGGAGAAGCAAGGACUUGACGAACAUGGUGAAUUCUGGGAGAAGCUAAAGUUGAUCACUGAGAGAAAGGCAAAAUGGACAAACAGUGGAUACAGAAUCAUAAUAGAUGUGCUAUCGAGUACUUGGAUGGAAUAAAUGAUUUCAUUGAAUUCGCAACUAGACACAACCGAGGUUCAACUCAUAUUCGAUGUCCCUGUAGGAAGUGUAACAACUCAAUGAGGGAAACAUUCGAAAAUGUUCGAUUUCAUUUAGUAAGAAAUGGGAUGAUGGAGACCUAUACUACUUGGUAUCAUCAUGGAGAACGAUUAGACCAAGCUUCGUCUUCAUACAUGACACGAGUGGAGACUGUUGAAUGUAAUGUGGAUCCUAAUGAACAAGUUAUGGAUAUUCUAAAUGAUGUUUAUCCAUAUGCUACAACCAACACCAAUCAAGAAGGGGGAGAUGACGGUCGUCCAACCAUGGAUAGUGAGGCAUUCAAAAACUAUGAAAAACUACUGAAAAAUGCCAAGCAAGAAUUAUAUCCGGGGUGUGAAAACUUUUCGAUGCUCACAGCAAUUGUGGAGUUGAUGCAUGGCAAGAUCAAGUUUCGUUUGUCAAACAAAUGUUUCGAUUACUUUUUAGGAGUUAUCAAGAGGAUGCUUCCAAAGGACAAUUGUUUACCUAAUCAUAAAAGUGCCCAAAAAGUGUUGAAGGGUCUUGGAUUGGGGUAUGAAAAAAUUCAUGCAUGUGUAAAUAAUUGUAUAUUGUUCUAUAAGGAGAACACACAGUUGGAUAAAUGCCCUGUAUGCAAUGAGCCAAGGUUUAAAAUGACAUCACAAAAUAGAAAGACCAAGAUUCCAUAAAAAGUAAUGCGUUAUCUUCCAUUGAAGCCUAGGUUGCAACGAUUGUACAUGUCGAUGCACACCGCUACCGAUAUGAGAUGGCAUAAAGAAGGACGAGUAAAUGACGAUGUUAUGAGGCAUCCUGCAGAUGGAGAAGCAUGGAAAGAAUUCGAUCGAAUGUACCCUGAUUUUGCAGCUGACCCGCAAAACGUCAGAUUAGGACUUGCCACCGGCAGAUUUAAUCCGUUUGGGGUUCUAAACCAAAUCCAUAGCACUUGGCCGGUCGUCGUGUUUCCUUAUAAUCUGCUGCCUUGGAAGUGCAUGAAAAAAGAAUACAUGAUGUUAACUCUAUUAAUUACUGAAGAUCCAGGAAAGUCCAUUGAUGUUUAUUUGCGGCCGUUGGUAGAUGAGCUAAAAGAUUUAUGGGAAAACGGUGUUCGUACAUAUGAUAAGUAUACUGGGCAAAUGUUCACCAUGAGAGCAGCAGUGAUGUGGACAGUAAACAAUUUUCCCGUGUAUGCAAUGGUUUCUGGGUGGAUGACUAAGGGUUAUUUGGCAUGUCCAAUAUGCAAGGAGAAUGUAACAUCGUCUUGGCAUGCGAGAAAAGUUUGUUAUCUUGGUCAUCGUAGAUGGCUCCCUUGGGACAACGAGUGGCGUCAGAACGAUAAAGCCUUCCACGGCACAAAAGAGACUCGACCAAGACCAAGAGAAUGGUCUGGAGAUGAGAUUUUGGAUCAAUUAAACCGUUUGGAAUUUGGUCAUUUUGGCAAAGGGGUCAGUAAGCCCAGACCAACUACACAUCUGAACUGGACACACAAGAGUAUGUUAUUUGAGCUCCCAUAUUGGUCAAAGUUAAAAUUGAGACACAACCUCAAUGUUAUGCAUAUUGAGAAAAAUGUGUUUGAUACUUUGGUCGGGACAAUUCUAGACAUUGAAGGAAAAACAAAAGACACGGUUGAAGCUCGCCUUGAUUUGGAACAAAUGGGCAUUAGGCCAUCCUUAUGGAUGAACAAAGUUGGUGGUACAUUGAAGAAAGGCCAUCCUUUUUUUACAGUUAAUCCGAAUGGGAAGAAAGAGUUUUUCAACUUUAUUUCUUCUGUAAAGUUUCCAGAUGGGUAUGCUUCCAAUAUCUCGCGUUGCGUGAACGUGAGAGGGUGUAAAUUUUCAAACAUGAAGAGUCAUGAUUGUCAUGUGAUACUCCAACGCCUUCUACCAGUUGGUAUUCGACACUUAUUGCCUCUUGAUGUGGUGAAACCAAUCAUGUUGUUGUCUAGAUUUUUUUCACAAUUGACUGCAAGGUGUUUGCGGAAGUCGGAUGUUAAACAAUUGCAGGACGACAUUGUGAACGUCUUAUGCAAGUUCGAACAGAUAUUUCCUCCAGCUUUCUUUACAAGUAUGAUUCACGUGAUGAUUCACUUGCCAGAUGAGGCAUUGCUUGCUGGACCAGUCAAUUGCCGAUGGAUGUAUCCAAUAGAAAGAUAUCUUGGUGAGUUGAAAAAGUGUGUCCGAAAUAGGGCAAAGCCCGAAGGAUCACUUGUGGAGGCAUGGGUCGCAUAUGAGUCACUUACUUUUUGUGCAAUGUAUCUUCAAGAUGUUGAGACAGCUUUCAAUCGUCCUCAACGCAAUAAUGACGGUGGUGUCAGAAAAGAGAAACUAUAUAUUUUUGCCCAAAUUGCGCGACCAUUCGGCGAGCCUGUAAAAGGCGAAUCGUUUACCAAAAAAGACAUGGAGGUAGCGCAUUGGUUCAUACUCAACAAUUGUGAUGAGGUUUUGCCAUACCUUGAAGAGCAUGAACGGUUGAUGAAGCGGGAACAUCCUUCACAUUUAUAUGCCAAGAAGCACCGUGAAUUGUUUCCUUCAUGGUUUCACGAACAUAUGAACAAAUUGAAGGAAUUGAAUUCACCCUCUUACGAUGAAGAAUUAUAUAACUUGGCAAGAGGACCGCUUCACGUUGAAUUGUUCUCAGGUUGUCAUGUCAACGGGAUCAAGUUCUUGGGGGCAACACGUGAUGACAAGUCGUCUACUCAAAAUAGUGGUGUCCACGUCCCGGGUGCGGGCGACAGUGAAGACAUUGAUUUUUAUGGUAAACUAACUAGUGUAGUACAAUUGCUUUACAAAGACAGGUGUCAAGUGAUACUGUUUAAGUGUCUUUGGAUUGAUACAAACCCACAUAACUGAACGAGUGUUAAGCGAGACCAUGGUUUACUAUCAAUAAACACUACCAGACGUUGGUACGAUGAAGGCCCAUACAUUUUGGCAACUAUGGCGAAACAAAUAUUCUUCCUAGACGACCCUAAAGCCGGCAAUGGUUGGAAAGUUGUUCAGAAGAUUGAUCGAAGAGGGCUAUAUGAUAUUCCGGAACUAAAUCAAGAUGACAACGACGACAACAUCGCUGACCAACAGUUAUCAUCUUUGAUAAAAAUUGGUGAAGAAACACUCCGAGAUACUAAUGUUGUCCAAGAACCGUUUGAAGUAGUUGGAGUUCCCGAAUUCGAAAUACCAAUAGAGUCAAUUUCAAUUGACCUUGGUGAUCUGCCACGAUACAAUGCACCGGAAGAGGCAAAUGAAGAUGAGGAUGAAUGGAAAUCCGAAAAUGAUAGUAGUGAGGAUAGCGAGAGUUAUUAUUGUAGUUCAGAUGAGGAUUAAUAUAAACUUGUAAAGGAAAAACCAGGAGAUUGAGGAGAGGCAAAGUCAAACUAAAAAAAGGCACGGGAAGAAUCUGAUCGUGAUCGUUUGAAGGUUAAAAAGGCCUUAAAGGGGGUGAAGGUAGCACUUUCUCAUCCUGAGGAUAGGUCUUAUACAAUCACAGGGGUCUCGGUGGAACCCCUGGCAAGCUGAUGCAUUCAAGUUAGGAUUAACGAUGAUGAUUUUCAAUCAUAUAUGCUGAUAUUGAAGGGCCAGGCAUGUUUAUUUUUUGGCAUAAGCUGUAAUUUAGUCUUUCGCUCCUAUCGUUUGAAUAUUUUUGAGA
Pyrus x bretschneideri (Chinese white pear) is the source of this 3975-nucleotide RNA transcript. RefSeq lists it as uncharacterized. The record is from RefSeq and is a predicted model, not a curated record. NCBI's taxonomy places the organism in Eukaryota, Viridiplantae, Streptophyta, Magnoliopsida, Rosales, Rosaceae. The transcript is spliced from 8 exons.